GGGGUUAUAGUUAAAAAUAACAUUCAACUUGCAAUUGAAAAGUACUAAAUAAGUUAAUCUCA
This 62-nucleotide transfer RNA is filed under the name Histeridae sp. BMNH 1274329. Its description in RNAcentral is "tRNA-Ala". It matches the Rfam family "tRNA". Rfam says of the family: Transfer RNA (tRNA) molecules are approximately 80 nucleotides in length. Their secondary structure includes four short double-helical elements and three loops (D, anti-codon, and T loops). Lineage: Eukaryota; Metazoa; Arthropoda; Insecta; Coleoptera; Histeridae. The record is from RNAcentral.